AGCGUUGUUCGGAUUUACUGGGCGUAAAGCGCACGUAGGCGGCUUCUUAAGUCAGGGGUGAAAUCCUGGAGCUCAACUCCAGAACUGCCUUUGAUACUGAGGAGCUUGAGUCCGGGAGAGGUGAGUGGAACUGCGAGUGUAGAGGUGAAAUUCGUAGAUAUUCGCAAGAACACCAGUGGCGAAGGCGGCUCACUGGCCCGGUACUGACGCUGAGGUGCGAAAGCGUGGGGAGCAAACAGG
This 240-nucleotide ribosomal RNA is filed under the name uncultured bacterium. Its description in RNAcentral is "partial 16S ribosomal RNA". It matches the Rfam family "Bacterial small subunit ribosomal RNA", at positions 537 to 776 of the family's 1533-position model. The record is from RNAcentral.